RNAcentral lists this ribosomal RNA (253 nucleotides) under uncultured bacterium. RNAcentral describes it as "partial 16S ribosomal RNA". It matches the Rfam family "Bacterial small subunit ribosomal RNA", at positions 524 to 776 of the family's 1533-position model. The record is from RNAcentral.
UACGUAGGUGACAAGCGUUAUCCGGAUUUAUUGGGCGUAAAGCGCACGCAGGCGGUCGAUUAAGUCUGACGUGAAAUCUCUCGGCUUAACCGGGAGCGGUCGUUGGAAACUAAUCAGCUUGAGGCGAUGAGAGGGGUGUGGAAUUCCCGGUGUAGUGGUGGAAUGCGUAGAUAUUGGGAAGAACACCGGUGGCGAAGGCGGCGAGCUGGUCCAUUACUGACGCUGAGGCGCGACAGCGUGGGGAGCAAACAGG